GCCGCCACCCACCUCCACCACCCACCCCUCUCCUCGCCGCCACCCACCUCCCCUCCCCACCCCAGAUCCUCUCCCCACUCCCAGAUCCAACUUGCCACCGUAGAACGAGGAGAUCGCGACCAAGAUCUUCGGGACGCGGUUGUCGUCGUCGCGGACCGCUCCUCCGCUGACCCGCGCAAGUUCCCCGGUGCUAAGGUACCUCGAGGAGUUCGCGCGGCGGUUCGACCCCCUCGGGCUGGUCCGGUUCGGGACGGAGGUGGUGAGCGUCCACCGCAGCAGGGACGACGACGCGGGCUGGAGGGUGAGGCUCGCCUGCGCUGGCAGCGAGCUGGAGGAGGAAGUUUGACGCCGUGGUCGUCUGUAGUGGGCACUUCGCCGAGCCGUGUGUGGCCGCCAUCACAGGUUAGUGAGCAGCAUCAGGAGGACGAGCUUCCUCACUCCGCCCCGGAUCUGCGGCUGCCCCCCGCUGGCCAUGGACUCCGCCCUAGGGUUUCUGCCGCCGCCGCCGGAGAGGGGAGGGGAGGAGUGUAGAAGGACCAGAGCGAGAUGGCCGGACGGCUCCUCGGGCAGCUCCUCGUCAUGGGCAGCGCCGUUGUCGGCAGGGCCGUGGUGCAGGCCUACCGCCAGACCAUCGUCAGAUAUGCAGGGAGGUCGGCCCUUGUCCAGGGGAAGAUGAGCACCAUGACGGUGAAAGACAACCUCUUGGCGGCUGGUGGUUUCCAUGGGGAGCUGAUCUGCAAUGUAUCCCACCGCUGACCCAUAUCCAGAUCAGCUGCGUCGCCGGUUCUGCCAUCUCCGACCGCACUCCCCCGUCUGCGCCGUCGAGCCGAGCCUGCUCACCUCCUUCUUGAUGGUCGCGCGCCGGGAGAGCCCUCUACCGGUAGCGACGCAGCCGUGUCUGGUGCCGUACAAGGGAUGCCGGCGCAGGAUGCUGUCGUCGUCCGUUCCUAACGCCGCUGAGUUGAGCUGCAGGUGUUCCUUGAUGCUACAUAUGUCAGUUUCUUUUGGUAAACUUGAAACUGACAUCAAAAUCAAUUCCUUUAUAGAGUGCGUUGCUUGUAUCUAUGUAGCGACCAUACCUUAAACAGUUUGAUCUACCGUGCACCAGUGUCAUCCCUGGAUCAGUAAUGCUGACACGCACAGUACUUGGAGGAUUUAUAACAGAGUACCAAUCACACACUUAUUACAUCGAGUACCUCA
Molecule: long non-coding RNA, 1200 nt
Organism: Triticum aestivum (bread wheat)
Lineage: Eukaryota; Viridiplantae; Streptophyta; Magnoliopsida; Poales; Poaceae
Exons: 6
Source: RefSeq, a predicted model, not a curated record